ACUUCUCCACUCGCCUCCAGGAAUGGGUGUUGUAAAAGUCAAGUCAGCAUGUAUGAGAACACCAAUCUAUAAGAGUGUUCAACAAAGGAAGGCAUUGUUAUUUUACUAUCAUUAUUUUUACUACUUUAUGUUAUUUUGGAAAGAGCCAAGUCACCGAGGUGUCUUCUAUUAAAUCAAUUAGCCUGGAAGGAGAACUAAGCAAGAUGAGAAACUGAACGUAUCUGUGACUCUGCAAGCAGUCCCUGACGCUGUGGUGGGAUCCAGGCCUGGACGCUGUGGAUAAGGUAACUUUGGGUGUUUCAUGAAUAUCCAUAGUGACUGCUACCCCAAGUGAGCCCUGCCCAAAGAGAAUAAAAUGAGAGCCAUCUGGAACCCGGCAGAGCCAGGAAGUGUGGCCACAGGACUACAUUCUGGCCAACACAUAUGAGGAGAAAUGAUUUGAGCAACCCCUGGAUACAUCCUUAAAAAGCAGGGCGCUUGCCCUCCAUUUCCUCUUUCUCUACCUGGUGACUGGAAACAUGGUGACAACUGGAGCAGUCGCUUGGACACAGGAGAUGGAUAACAGAGCCACCCACCAGCCUUGCCUUGCUCACCUCUGGACUGUGACAGAAGAGAAUAAACUCCUGUCUCAUUAAA
This 636-nucleotide long non-coding RNA is filed under the name Homo sapiens (human). RNAcentral's name for it is "HSALNT0296286". The record is from RNAcentral. Lineage: Eukaryota; Metazoa; Chordata; Mammalia; Primates; Hominidae.